GACAGAGGUGCCGAGCGUUAGGCGGAAUCACUGGGCUUAAAGCGUGUGUAGGCGGGUCGUUAAGUACCUUGUGAAAUCCCCCGGCUCAACCGGGGAACUGCUGGGUAUACUGGCGAUCUUGAGCGAUCUAGGGGCAGAUGGAACAAGUGGUGGAGCGGUGAAAUGCGUAGAUAUCAUUUGGAACGCCAAUGGUGAAAACAGGUAGCUGGGAGUGUGCUGACGCUGAGACACGAAAGCCAGGGGAGCGAACGGG
Molecule: ribosomal RNA, 253 nt
Filed under: uncultured bacterium
Lineage: Bacteria
Description: partial 16S ribosomal RNA
Rfam family: Bacterial small subunit ribosomal RNA
Source: RNAcentral